This is a long non-coding RNA of Xiphophorus couchianus (Monterrey platyfish), 1128 nucleotides long. RefSeq lists it as uncharacterized. NCBI's taxonomy places the organism in Eukaryota, Metazoa, Chordata, Actinopteri, Cyprinodontiformes, Poeciliidae. The record is from RefSeq and is a predicted model, not a curated record. The transcript has 3 exons.
ACCAGGUGGCAGCAGUUCUCCAUGUUGCCACCAGGGAGAAGGACCUCGCUGCAGCGAACAGAAAGGGGCGGGGACGGACCUUUCCGUCAGUCCCAUACCUUAUUUGGAAAUGGGACUAUUGCAUUCCGGAAAUGAAGGGGGCGCUAUUUUCAUAAUCACUAGUAUAAAUACCUUAAGACGCAGGUUAAGAGGAACAGAAGAAGAAAGAAAGAAGUUUGAGAGGUUCUUCCACUGGUGUUCGGCUCACGAUCAACAAUGCAAAACUCACAAAGUCAACAAAAGAUCCACGUAUCUAUUUGCAACAUGAACAUAAAUAUUGCUGUUCCCUUUGCUCAUACAAGCUACAGAACCAUUUAGCACAAACUGCUAUGGUUCAACAUAUCGAUGCCUCUGAAUGUUCUUGAAGCUGUUCUCCAGGAGGUGGCGCUAGCACAGGGAGACUCAGCUUACCUCACCUUGGCAUUGACCUGCAAGUGCUUUGAAGCCGUUGAGUCUGACCCAGUUUUCAGGAAGAAGACUCACUUUGCUUGGCUGGAUGGUAAGGACCUUUGACUUUUUUCACCUAAAACAUGUGAAAUUAGAUUUCAACUACAUGAAAUCGAUUUUUCAUUAACAGGUGAGAUCAACUGGGGCAAAUUUUCAAAAACAUUCAAGGCAGAAAACCGGAUUCCUUUUGCGGUUGUAACGUGUUUUUCCUGCAACCGGUGAUAUAAAGACUGUGGGCUUCACCGGCGAUGGAAGACGAGGAGAGUACCCUGGUUACUACUGUGAUGGCCGACCUGGACACUACACUGACUGUCAAUACUGAAUGCAAGGAGAAUAUUAGUUGCUUUCCACAAUCUUUCACACAUUUCAGUUGUCACACAUUGUUAGUUUUUUUUUGUGACAUGCCAUUUUAAAUCAUUUCUGCUAAAGAAUAUUUGCCUUUUGACUUGUGCAGUCAUCCUUUUUAAUAAUGUGUUCUUUCAAUAUUAUUUACAUUUUUGAAUGUUCCUUUUGUUGUAGCUCAGUUGAUUUACAUUAUUUAGUUUUCAUAGAAAUGGUGCCGUUUCCACACAAAGUUACAUUGUGGCUGUAAUUUGUUGGAGAGAGUAGAACCAAUAAUGUAGUUGUAAAUAUAUUGUAACA